GAUGAACGCUGGCGGCGUGCCUAAUACAUGCAAGUCGAACGAGAACCAACCUUCGGGAUGGGGACAGUGGCGGACGGGUGAGUAACACGUAGACGACCUGCCCUGAAGCAGGGGACAACCCGCCGAAAGGCGAGCUAAUACCCUAUAAGCUCACGAGGCUUAGAAACUUGUGAGAAAAGAUUUAUCACUUCAGGAGGGGUCUGCGGGCUAUCAGCUAGUUGGCGGGGUAACGGCCCACCAAGGCAGUGACAGCUAGGGGGCCUGAGAGGGUGGUCCCCCACACGGGUACUGAGAACGGACCCGACUCCUACGGGAGGCAGCAGUGGGGAAUAUUGGACAAUGGGCGCAAGCCUGAUCCAGCCAUGCCGCGUGAGUGAUGAAGGCCCUAGGGUUGUAAAGCUCUUUUGUGCGGGAAGAUAAUGACGGUACCGCAAGAAUAAGCCCCCGGCUAACUUCGUGCCAGCCGCCGCGGUAAG
RNAcentral lists this ribosomal RNA (476 nucleotides) under uncultured bacterium. Its description in RNAcentral is "bacterial SSU rRNA". It matches the Rfam family "Bacterial small subunit ribosomal RNA", at positions 28 to 524 of the family's 1533-position model. The record is from RNAcentral.